Molecule: small RNA, 29 nt
Filed under: Bombyx mori (domestic silkworm)
Lineage: Eukaryota; Metazoa; Arthropoda; Insecta; Lepidoptera; Bombycidae
Description: ovarian small RNA-3262
Source: RNAcentral
UCAUCAGAGAGGGCGCGCACGCGCAUCAC